This 465-nucleotide ribosomal RNA is filed under the name uncultured bacterium. RNAcentral's name for it is "partial 16S ribosomal RNA". It matches the Rfam family "Bacterial small subunit ribosomal RNA", at positions 338 to 795 of the family's 1533-position model. The record is from RNAcentral.
CCUACGGGAGGCUGCAGUAGGGAAUCUUCGUCAAUGGGCGCAAGCCUGAACGAGCAAUGCCGCGUGAACGAGGAAGGUCUUCGGAUCGUAAAGUUCUGUUGAAGGGGAAGAAGAGCGGAGAGAGGAAAUGGUCUCCGAUUGAUAUUACCCUUCGAGGAAGUCACGGCUGACUACGUGCCAGCAGCCGCGGUAAUACGUAGGGGGCAAGCGGUAUCCGGUUUUACUGGGUGUAAAGGGGGCGCAGACGGCGAUGCAAGCCAGGAGUGAAAGCCCGGGGCCCAACCCCGGGACUGCUCUUGGAACUGCGUGGCUGGAGUGCAGGAGGGGCAAGCGGAAUGCCUGGUGUAGCGGUGAAAUGCGUAGAUAUCAGGAGGAACACCGGUGGCGAAGGCGGCCUGCUGGACUGCAACUGACGUUGAGGCACGAAAGCGUGGGGAGCGAACAGGAUUAGAUACCCGAGUAGUC